Molecule: transfer RNA, 70 nt
Filed under: Schistosoma mansoni
Lineage: Eukaryota; Metazoa; Platyhelminthes; Trematoda; Strigeidida; Schistosomatidae
Source: RNAcentral
AACUAAAUAGCACCUUUUUAUCUUACUAUGGAACAUCGUUUUAGAAAAGGAAAUUAAUUUAAUAGUUGAA